This 301-nucleotide ribosomal RNA is filed under the name uncultured bacterium. RNAcentral describes it as "partial 16S ribosomal RNA". It matches the Rfam family "Bacterial small subunit ribosomal RNA", at positions 509 to 807 of the family's 1533-position model. The record is from RNAcentral.
CAGUCGCCGCGGUAAUACGUAGGUGGCAAGCGUUGUCCGGAAUUAUUGGGCGUAAAGGGCUCGCAGGCGGUUUCUUAAGUCUGAUGUGAAAGCCCCCGGCUCAACCGGGGAGGGUCAUUGGAAACUGGGAAACUUGAGUGCAGAAGAGGAGAGUGGAAUUCCACGUGUAGCGGUGAAAUGCGUAGAGAUGUGGAGGAACACCAGUGGCGAAGGCGACUCUCUGGUCUGUAACUGACGCUGAGGAGCGAAAGCAUGGGGAGCGAACAGGAUUAGAUACCCGCGUAGUCCCUGUCUCUUAUAC